Cucumis melo (muskmelon) is the source of this 657-nucleotide long non-coding RNA. RefSeq lists it as uncharacterized. Lineage: Eukaryota; Viridiplantae; Streptophyta; Magnoliopsida; Cucurbitales; Cucurbitaceae. The record is from RefSeq and is a predicted model, not a curated record. The transcript has 4 exons.
CAUAAAAUAAAUAAAACUCAGAUUUUCAGCUACAUGUGAAGGAAAUGGGUUUACUGCUAAAAUGUUUCUUUUUCCUAAGAAACAAAUUGGAACUAUUGUUUCUCUCCCUCUUCAAUUUUUCCCCAGUUUUUGGGAGGGUAAAGUGCAGAAAUCUUUCGAGAAAUUUGGUGUUAAGAACUCACUGGUUUUGGUUAUUAUUGGUGAAGAAGCAAAUUCUUUAUGACUGAUUUGAGGAAUUUAAUUUAAUUUCGUUUCAUUUUUUUGAAGGAGAGGAAUUUAAAAGUUAGUAUUGAAGUACAGGUGGAGCAAUGACUUCCUUUAAAUCAAAGGGAAUAAUGGAACCAAAAGAGAUGAAUGUUACGACAUAAUUGUGAUCUGAUCGACUAGCUGUUCUAUCUAGCUAGGAUCCCAGCAGCUCAACUUUGUUCUUAAUGAUGCAAAAUGAGAAACAAAGGGAGAUAAAUAACCAGAGCUUUGAAUUUUAGGAGGGAGCUGAGAAGGGUUACGAACCACUAAAACAACUGCUCAUUUUUGGCCGUCUCUAAUUGGACUUCAAAGUCUAAAGAAAAUUGAAAGUUGAAUCAUCGGAUGGACUCCACUUUGGCAAAAUAGCAUCAAAAGAAGAAAAAUUUUGGUGGAAUUGAGAAUCAAACUGGG